GAGCACCGUUUCUCUGGGUAUCCUAAAAGGACGCACCAACCAAGUGGAAAAGCUCAAGGAAAAGUGAAUUGUUUCUGACUUCCACUCAGCUGAAGGUUGUCAAGCUGCCUCAUAGCAGAAGGUGACCUGCCAUCUUUUGGGUUCCAUCCUCUUGAAUAUUGCUGGAAAGGAAGCCAGGCCAAACGCCCCUG
RNAcentral lists this long non-coding RNA (191 nucleotides) under Monodelphis domestica (gray short-tailed opossum). RNAcentral describes it as "lncRNA (ENSMODG00000047276.1)". Lineage: Eukaryota; Metazoa; Chordata; Mammalia; Didelphimorphia; Didelphidae. The record is from RNAcentral.